CAUUGUAAAAUAAUUAAACUCACUGAAUAUCAUUAUUUAAUUUCAAUAAUUUAUCUUCUAAACGUAGAAGUAAACUCUGCCGCUUUAACAUCGCUGUAGUGCAGCUGCACGUCAUUUCGCGCCAGUUUGCUGCAUAGUCGUAUCCUACAGCGGAAGAUGUCGGACUCGGCUGAAGCGAGUGGCUGUUUUAUGAAGUGGACAUAUUCCCGUCUCUUCACUUUUCUGAAACAAGCAGACAAGAAUAUCACAGUAAUAUGUAAGCUAUGUGCUGGGGAGACAAAGCUAUUGGCUGCUGUUAAUAGCACGAGUAAUCUACUGAAGCGCCUGACACGAGAGCAUAGACGAACACUUCUGAGUGAUUCUUGUUCAUCAUCCAUGGAUAACACUGCGGCAACUCCUGCUAAGCAGGCAAAACUUGAUUUUACUUCAGCAGCACAGAAAGCGUCUGAAGGGUGAUUCUGGGGGUCCGCUGAUGUGUAAGCAGGACGGCUCUUGGUUCCAGGCGGUCGUGUUAACAGCUCUAAGCCCCUCUGCCAGGAGAAGACGAGAAGCUCCAGUUAUGACCUUCACCAGAGUGAGCUCCUUUGACUUCCUUCCUGAGAAGCUCGAGACACGCUUGUCUCCAGCCUUGAACACCACCGCCACCCCCACGAAUGCCCCCAUCACUACCACUACCAGCAGCACCUAUACCACCACUAUGGCCACCACCACAAAUGACUCAAAUAGUGUGUUUGACACCAGCGGGGGUCGUCCGGGUCAGGCCUUCAUAUUUGCCAUCUUCAACCUCCUCAGCCUCACCCUUUGUCUCCAACUCUUCCUGUAGAGAGUCUGACCUGAUUUACAUGAUGUCGCGGACACAAAUGAAUGUGAACAAGCCUCGACUUUGAGACUUUCAGGCUUAAAGCUGUGCCUGGAAAAAUUUGACUUGAUUCUUAACCGGUUAUCUAAAGAAAGCUCAGUGGUGAAGCUGUGGAGGAUCAAAUCCCACAUUCUACUGGACGAAUCAUCAGCACAAACAUCUGGACCACCUGAUGGAGAGGUUGACUACAAAUCCCAGAGUGCACUGCAGUAUUAACAGAAUAAUAUCCAGCUCCAGGUCCAGCUCCAGGAUCAAGGUCAACUACAUUCAUCCCGCCUUAGUGAGCAAACGUCAGCAAACAUCAGCUAAAGAGAUAAAAUUACAUAAAGAAUGUACAUGUGGAAAACAAAUGUUUGAUAUAAGGGAUGAAAGAAUAAAAAAUUGUGGGGUAAACACAAAAUGUGUCUGUUUUUUUGCUUUGAGAUGACGUGGAAAUCCUUCCUGUUUGCAGUACUGUCCUGGAAACAUAAACAGGAGUACAAUCCCUGAACAUGCUCAUGUACAUAUGGCACUGUGUGCAAACUCAGCUGUAACUUUGCAGCUACCUCCUGAGGAUGCAGGUUUUAGUGGGAGGAGAUAAAACAAGAAGAAGCUUCUGUGGUGUAAAUGCGGGUUUAAUAAAGCAUUCAUUAAAAACAAGGUACUGAAGGUACUUUCAGCAAAACAGACAUCAGCUCGGCGUGACCUCAGGCCAUUUCAAAAGGCACAAGGUCUCUUUUGGCGUUGAUGCUUUUAAUCCAAGACCCACUGCUGGGGGAUAAUGGCACCGUUUUAGAGACCUACAGUCGACAUUAUCACAAUCCACCAAGGGCGGACCCUGAUCAGGAAGGAAGCGAAAACCUGCACAUUCAGUCAGCUCCGUGUGAUCCGAGUAAGAUCGAUGCAGCUACUCAGAUGAA
Molecule: long non-coding RNA, 1758 nt
Organism: Oreochromis niloticus (Nile tilapia)
Lineage: Eukaryota; Metazoa; Chordata; Actinopteri; Cichliformes; Cichlidae
Exons: 2
Source: RefSeq, a predicted model, not a curated record